Molecule: long non-coding RNA, 2057 nt
Organism: Carassius gibelio (silver crucian carp)
Lineage: Eukaryota; Metazoa; Chordata; Actinopteri; Cypriniformes; Cyprinidae
Exons: 3
Source: RefSeq, a predicted model, not a curated record
UGCUUCUUCUGUCAGCCUUUUCCAGUGUCCCGUCCCUGAAAAGGCGAAUUUCCAUGUAUAUCCGCUCACAGAUUGUGUGGUUUUACUCACUGAUAUCACACCACAUGAUGAAAACAGGUGCUGCUGCUCUAUAAAUACAUGUGUUCUUGCAGGCAGAGGAGGAGGAGGAGGAUGAAGAAGAGCAGUAUUAGUCACUCUGUCUGCUGUAGAUCCCUGGAUUCACAGCCAAACCUUGACCGAAAUACUCCUGAACCGCAGUCGCUCACCCACUGAUGCUGCGACCGGUCACAUCAGGACAAACGCGUUCAAAAACAUGAUUACUGCUUGAUUUUAAAAAAAUAAACUAGCGUUCACCUAAAGGUCUUGAAGAACAGGACAUCAGUAAAGUAUAAGCGCUGAACAUCUCCACUCAUUCUUAUGAACUCAGCGGCUGCAACAGAGAGCUUAAACCAUCCCAAAAAUCCCUUCAAACCCGACUGUCAGUUUAUUGUUUGCCUGCCGAAGUGUCUCCAGAAGUCGGCCGAAGCAAUAAGAAAUCCCAUCUCGUCCAAGACGAGACUCUGUUGUGCUUCAGUAAUGGCUCCUGUGGUGUUUUGUUCUCGGCCGUUGUUCCUCCUCAGUUGUUACACCUCUGGAAGAAAAGCUGAGGCCGCGAAUAGGCUUCUGGAAACAUCUAACACCCAAUAUCUGACUAAGCGCUUCUCCCAUCUCCGUCUGUUGGUGGCUUUAUUCACUUGCAAGCUCACAUCCAUCAGAGGACGGGAAGAUUAAAGCCCUCGCUCAUAUUUCCAGCCCAGAUCCCAUUUCAUACCAAAGAUAGAGUUCCAAGUUCAUUACUAAUGUUUUCCAUCCAGAGGUUUUUUGCUAACUGACAAAAACGCUGUCAGCAACAUGGAUUAUUUCCAUAGGAUUCACGAUACUUAAUUUGACCAAAAAGAAAAAUGGUGGACUUUUGUUCUUUUAGUAAUUGAUCAGCUGGUGAAACUUGGGCGUUUUGUACCAGGAUGGACAUUAUAAAAGGGAUUGGUGACGUCAACCAAAAAGCACAAAUUGUUUUGGAUCAAAUUGUGUAAAAUAAAAAGGUCUAUUUAGAUUUCAUGUUGACUUGAGCUACAGCUACAGGAAGUGUUCAAUCCAGCAGAUCUGUUUCAAAUUCAAGUUGACUUGUCUAUUGAGCCAUAGGAAAAAAUGUCUGCUUCUCCAUUUGUCUGAAAAGGUGUCUGUUUCUCUCUGUCCAAAACAAGUAUAUACCUGUCCAUUUGCCACUCUGUCUAGUCUGUCUGAAUAAGUAUCUGUGUCCAUCUGAAAAAGUGUCUCCGUCUAAAAUAGUAUGUCGGUUUGUCUUCUCAUCUUUCUACAAAUAAGUCUCUCUGUCCAUCUGAAAAAGUGUCUGUUUGAUAAAGUCUGUCUGUCUGGAAAAAAAUCUGUCUGUCUCCGUCCAAAAAAGGAUCUCUCCAUUUGCUUUCUGUCCAUCUGAAAAAAGAGACAGUUUAAAAAAAUUAUAUCUCAAAAAAUGAUGUCUGUCCAUCUGAAAAUGUGUGUGUGUGUUGGUCAGUCUGUCUGUCCAGUUGUCUCAAAAGAAAAUGUCUGAAUUAUCUUUGUCUGUUUCUCUGUCUGAAAUAAGUAUUUUUCUACCUAUCCAUUUAUCUAAAUAUAUAUAUAUAUAUGUCUGUUGGAAAGCACUUGUCUGUUUGUCUGAAAAGAAAAAGUGAUUGUAAAUUGCCUGUCCAUUUGUAGAAAUAACUUGUUUGUGUCUAGAAAGUGUCUAGUUCUGGUGCAUCAUGGGAGUGGCCAGUCACUUGAGUGACUCUGAUUGGUGGAUCUAUCUUCGGGACUGUAGAAACAUGCAUCACUGAACAAGCUCAUUAUCAUACAAAUAAGAAGCAAAUAUUUUGUUUCUGUAGUAUCUGAUUGAAAUAAAGGAGCUGGUUCUCUAGAGAGUGUAAUUUGGCUUGUUAUUACAGAGGUUUGGUCUUGUGCGUGUGAGGCGGUACAUCCUGGCGUGUGUGAUUAUCUCUUCAGCGUGGAGAACAGCACCAUCUGUUUGGGUGUUCGCU